GGGGUUGUAGCUCAGUGGUAGAGCACUUUCCAAGCAUGUGUGGGCCCCUGGGUUCUAUUCCCAGCACCACA
Molecule: transfer RNA, 71 nt
Filed under: Marmota monax (woodchuck)
Lineage: Eukaryota; Metazoa; Chordata; Mammalia; Rodentia; Sciuridae
Description: tRNA.Ala
Rfam family: tRNA
About the family: Transfer RNA (tRNA) molecules are approximately 80 nucleotides in length. Their secondary structure includes four short double-helical elements and three loops (D, anti-codon, and T loops).
Source: RNAcentral